CAGCCGCCGCGGUAAAACGAAGGUCCCGAGCGUUGUUCGGAAUCACUGGGCGUAAAGGGAGCGUAGGCGGCGUGGUAAGUCAGAUGUGAAAUCCCGGGGCUCAACCCCGGAACUGCAUCCGAUACUGCCGUGCUAGAGGAUUGGAGAGGUAGCUGGAAUUCUUGGUGUAGCAGUGAAAUGCGUGGAGAUCAAGAGGAACACUCGUGGCCAAAGCGAGCUACUGGACAAUAUCUGACGCUGAGGCUCGAAGGCCAGGGUAGCGAAAGGGAUUAGAGACCCCGGUAGUCCCUGUCUCUUAUAC
Molecule: ribosomal RNA, 301 nt
Filed under: uncultured bacterium
Lineage: Bacteria
Description: partial 16S ribosomal RNA
Rfam family: Bacterial small subunit ribosomal RNA
Source: RNAcentral